Molecule: long non-coding RNA, 6818 nt
Organism: Orcinus orca (killer whale)
Lineage: Eukaryota; Metazoa; Chordata; Mammalia; Artiodactyla; Delphinidae
Exons: 2
Source: RefSeq, a predicted model, not a curated record
UUGGCCUGUAUUAUGUCAAACAAAGAUCCCAGUUUGCAAGAGAGAGAGGAAUUACAGUUCUUUUGGUUUUUCCUGUUGUUGCUGCCCUUGUUGUUGGCUUUGGUUUUGAUUUAUUUAUUUUUUUUGCUGGACACAUUGCUGCAGGACAUAUUAGUAAAGAAAAGGGGAUUCUAGUAGUGCCUGCCCACAUCUUUGAUUUUAGUGGUCAAAAUUUAUUUCCCUGGAUACACACUGAAAUUUUUUUCUAUUUUUGCUUCCCCCUUCCUGAGGGAUUUUGUUUCGCCCAUAAACAGUUUUCCUUCAGGCAAAGAAUGCAAUCAUUUAUCACAUUUUUGAUUUUCUUAAUUACCUUCACAUUCUAGUCUUGCCUCUGGGGCCUUUUUAUUCGUUGUGCACGAUGCCUGGAGUCUAAGAGCUUUUCAGGGGUCUGAAUAUUUUAAACCUGAAAAAAAUGUAUUGGCUUCUAAAUGCACAAAGAAAACAGUGAUAUCAAAACUCAUUAAAUAUUUAGUUAAGUGUCUCUGAACUAUAUAGUUAUGUUCAUACAUUAAUUGUUAAAUUUAGUAUUCACAAAAAUGUUAUUAUGCUUGAAAUAUAUUUGCAGAUUAUGGUGUCACUUUCCUGAGUAUGCAUACUGAUUACACAGAAAUCAUAGCCAACCAGCAAUGAAAUGAUUUACUCCAAGCUUUAGAGGACAUUACAGUAAACUCUCCACACCCUUUCCAGCCAGAUGAUCAAUCCAAGCCCUUCACAGGACCUGUACUUCUGAGUCACAUGUGGGGACUUUUUUUUUGGCUGAUUAAGCUGGCAGCAAUAAGCAGCAAAGCAGAUAAACUCUGGGUACAAAAAACUGCAAACCAGAUGCUUUCCCAAGAGCUCUCUCCGUUUGACACAGAAUUCUUAUUUCAAGAGGAAUCAUUUUUGCUUUUUCUUAGGGGCUUGGCACCCUGCCUUCCCUCUCUGCAAAGGAGGGAAAAUGUCUUUUAUUUUGUACUUCCGCCUUUUCCAGUUGCUGUGGGAAGCAAAGUCCAUCCUCCUUUGGAGGCAGAGGCCAGGAGCUGCAUAAGCAUGGAGAGCCACGCUCUGGAACUGACGCAUGCGUGGUGCACAGCUAAGACAUCCACGUGUGGAGCCUGCAGAACUAACGAGUACAUGCACGCCUGGCCCGGUUGGCUCCCUCUUCCACAUGCCAGUGAAGUGUUAGACACCAGUAGCAAGCCAUUGGGGUUGUUGGGCAAUCUCUUUUCCUUGUCUGCUUCUCCACCCUGAGCGCAUACCCUUGCCUCUGGCAAUAGCCUUAUAAUUAUCACGUGAUCAGCACAUACGCAUCACAGUAUACUGAGUGUUUCACGCAGGCCAUCCCUUCUGGAGAAGGAGCAGUGAAGAGGCUGGGAGCGCAGACUUUUAGGCACCUGACCGGGACAGGCAUUAGAGAAGGGCCCUGUACUUGGCUUAUGGUUUGAAGCUUUCUGGAAUUAUUUAAUGACCAUUUUCCCAUAGCUUUUGCCUCCUGGAGUUUUCCUCUUGGCAAGCUGAGGCUAGAAAGCGAGUCAUGACAUGCCCAGUGUGGUGGAGGAGUGGUACCAGCGUGGAUCUGAGGUUUCGUCAGCCUUCCUGCUCCCUCUCAGAACCUCUGUCCCUGAGUCACCAGCACUAGCCCUAGGAGAGGAGUGGCAGGGCGCUGGGAGGAGGUGACCCAUGUGAGCAUGAGUGUGAGUUGGAAACUGCAUGGGAGAGCUGCUGGCUGCUGUGCAUUAUUUUACCUGCUGCUUUAGGAUAAGCAGGAGCCCUCAGAAGUAAAAACAUGUGGCUUUUUUUUUUCUUGGACCUUCGGAAACCCAGUGAUAAAAUAGAAGAGUAACCAAUGAAACUCUCUCUGAAGCACUAAUAAGCUUAAUGCUAACUGCAGUAGUAUUCCUGGAGGAAGAUGCUAUUUGAUUUUCAGUGCCUUUAGUGUUGCCAUUUUUGCUUACAAAGAAGUGAGAUAAAUGAAAGCGAUGGCGCAGAUUAAGUAAAUUCUUUUGUGGGAAAAGCCUGAGUUCUCAUAUGCUUUCAGUUAUUUUAGUCUCUUGAUCAUAUCAAAUGAUACUUAGCAUCUUGUUUUCAUAAGUGGACAAUGUUAUAGUUUAUUUCUAUUAGCAAUUAGGAAUUACAAUGUAGAUGCCAGAUCAGUAGUAUAGAAAUUAAGUACAGAUUCGCCCUAAGGCAACUUUACUUUUGUUGGUCAACGACAUGGUGAGUAGUAGAGAAAAGAUUGUUUGAAAUAUAAUUAAGUGAAUGGAAGCCAUUGCUGUAUGAUUCUAAUGGAUGUGGAUUCUUUGUAGGAGAAUAUAUCUGUCGUCAUCUACAGUGAACAUUUAUUUAAUUUCCAGUCUCCUAACUGGAGCUAGGAACUUCACAGAAGGAAGAUCAUGGAAUCAACACAAAGUUGUUGAGUGCCAGCUCUGUCUAGGAUACUGCUCUGAUCACCUCCUAUUCACCCCGUCAUUGAAGGAGGGAUUCCUCACACGAAGUAGUACAAGAUGGCCAAACAUACCACACCUGGCCCUGGACAGAUGAGAUGGACAGCAGGUUAUUAGCCACAUAUACUCACAGCCUGUGGGAAGACAUCACACACCACGUAGGGCCGCGUGGGGGUUGCUCUUGGGAGUUGAGUAAAUAAGCAGGGGCGGGAGGAGGUAGGCUUUCUAUUAACCAGAGGGUAGGGUGACCCCUGGUUCCGGCGGGAGGAUGUGAUUGGCUAGUUUGAACAACUUCAUGGCUGACAGGGAACUAAUAUCCAUCAGGUUGAGGACCGGGGGAAUGAAGCUGGUGGGGUUAAUAGGGGAACUACCCAAGUGGGGUGCCUUACCCACUGGGUGGGGGACAUCUGGCAAAAGCAGGAGAACUUAUGGUUAGGCUUCUGGGGCCCCGUGGGGCUCGAAGAUGUCAAGGUAGCCCAUGAAAUUUUAGGCCUUACGCUAUAGAUACAAAAGAAGAAUAAGACAUGUUUCCUGACUGAAAAGAGCUUGAAUUCUCCAGGCCGGGGUGGGAGUUGGGGAUGGAGGUGUGGGAGUGUCACACUGUUGUAAAUGCUUCUGUCGGUAAAAGCGCGGGAGGACUUCUGAGCAUAUCCAGGAAAUACGGUACAGUGACUGCGACGGGUAGACUUCAUAAAAAAACAUGGAGCUUGGGACUUCCCUGGCGGUCCAGUGGUUAAGACUUCACCUUGCAAUGCCGGGGGUGUGGGGUUCGAUCCCUGGUCAGGGAGCUAACAUCCCACAUGCCUCGUGGCCAAAAAAACCAAAAAAACAUAAAACAGAAGCAAUAUUGUAACAAAUUCAAUAAAGACUUUAAAAAUGGUCCAUAUCAAAAAAAAAGAAAAUAUGGAGCUUGUCUAGAACGUCAAAGGUGGGUAAGAUGCACAGUUAGUCGGGAGCCAAAUCAGGAGUCAUUUCAGAAGAGGAAUGAGAUUAAAAAGUUCUUGCUUAUGUUUAAAGAACAUUCAGUUCACGUAUUUGACAUAUACUUACUCGGGGGCACAGACAGCACAGAGGAUAGGGUAAGAAAGAAGCUCUAAGGACAGUGUGGGCCUUGCCUGUCAGGCUGUCUGGUCCGAGUUGGGCAUGAACUAUGGGCAGUGGUGUCCCAGGAAGGCCAGAGCCUACCAUUCCCUGAGGGCCUCAAAUGUAGACUUUGGCUAUAAGCUCCAAUGAGGUAAAACAACCCCAGAAAUACAGCAAUGGGAAAAAAAGAUGUUCAAUUUGUAGCUGUAAUUGUUGCAAAUAUUUAAAAUAUGCCACAAUUUCAAUACCUUUUUCAGCAUUUAUUUUAUAAUACACCAGGACCCUGAAAAUAAAUGGAAGUAGGCCUGGUGUCCCUCAACUUCAGAAAGGCCCUACCGGCCAGAUGGCUCCCGGUGGCAUCCAGCCCACCUUGGUCAGGGCCCAUCUCUGCACUCCCUCCCCUUGGGUCCGUGCCAGGCAUUCCCAUCUCAGAGCCCCUGGAGAACUCUGGGCCUAUUCUCUCCUGUGGAGCAGUGGGUACUUAAUGCUCCAGCCAACUGAGCUACCCAGUGUGUACGGGCUGCCACAAGCAAAGACAGAAGCCUCUAAAUUACUGAAGGGAGCACUGUGUUCUUCCCAGUACAGGGCAGUCGUUUUUGGGUUGUCCAGUACGAGUGUGUACCCUCUAAGAUAUUUAUCAGAGACUCAUUUCACCUCUUGUACUUGGCAGCCAAAGCACAUUGAUGCAUGCUAACAUGUCCUCCGGUUUGCUCUAAUUUUAUAUCCUAAACACCCCCUGAGAGAAAAGAUAAAGGGGUGUUCUUUGGCUCCAGGAAAUUCAGUGGGACUUAACUUUCUUUUCCUGAAUGAAUGACUAUGUGCUAUGUAUUAUUUAUUUGUGAAACACCAAACAGUUUAGCUGGGAUGAUAUAAAGAAAAAGAAACCUUGCCAUAUCUUCAGGAAUCAACAAUGACAACAACGGAAAACUUCAAACAUGAGAGAGAGAAGAGAAAACCUUUCAUGGAUACAAUUAUCCCAGUUGGCAGCAAUCAGGUCCAAAAGCUAUAAUACAAAAUAGCUCCAAUUCUCAUGGCAAGAAAUGAACUUGUUCCAGAAUAAAUGGCUGUAUAGAUGAGUCCAAAGAGUUCCAGCACAACCAAAUUAAUAGUUUGAGUUGGGGGAGGGGUGUGUGUGCGCAAACAUCACAUUAGCCAUUCUGAGAACUGUUUGCAGAUUUUAAAGACAACUACUUUCACGAUGACCCCAUGGGUGAUGAUGUUCUCAGGUCUGGACAUCAGGAAGUCUUUAAGUAUGUACUAGAUCAGUCAGAAGGAAGCCACGGUGACCCUAAACGCAAUUAUGAGUUCAGUUGACACCUCAGUAGGAAAACAAAGUAUCCAAAGUCUGUUAAAGACUCACUAAAGCAUAUAAUGUCCUGGAACAGGGCAUCAUUGUACUGUACAUUCUUGCAGGAGGUGGAACAUUUCAGAUCUGUUCUUUCAGACGAGAUUAUUUGGGAAACGAGUGUCUAAGAAUCGUAAGACUGAGAUAAAUGCCCACUUAAAUCCUGAAGAAAUUCUGAUUUCGUCUUUGGAUUGUGGUUUUCUUUGGAAGCCUGAGUUGCUUUUGAACCACAGUGCAUACUUAAAACUGACCAAAGGGGCUUUCACAUGAAUCUUGGGGAGAUAUAAAUGUGAGAUUAGAGGAUACUGGACUCUGAAGUAAUGUGGGAAUUGCUAAAACACUAGUUGAGGCCCUGGAUCUAUUAGUGUCUCUGCUCCCGACUGGCCUGGUGAGCUUUUGAGCCAUUCCUCCUGACUCAGGAGGUACUAUGGUUUCCUCUUUCUCUCUCACUCAUAAAAAUAUAUUAUCUGGAAACUAAGGUAGCCAUAUGAAAGAGGAAAGAGUAAUCACACAAACAAAUGCACACAACUUCAUUCUGAGAGUACCAGAAGGUUCAUUUGUAAAUCAGUACUUGUACAUUACACAUGCACAAGCACGCACACGUGCACACACACAUACACACAAAUUCAUUUUUAAAAUUAGAGUAUUACAUUUGCAGAAAUGCAUUUGUUUUAAAUCCAAAUAUCUUAUUUACUUAAUGGCCUGUAAGUGGCUACUUUAGUGUGUCUGAUGAAAAAUACAUGACCAUACCUGAAAAAGCUUACGUCAGAAAAGAGCCCAGAUUACUGACACAGCACUAUGCCCAAUGUAUAUAUAUUUAAAGCACAUAAACAGAUAAACUUCAGCUUUUUGUUAGAAAUGUUCAUUGAAUAAGUAGAAAGAGCUCAAAACAAAUAUAAAAAAAGGACCUGCAUUAAAAAAUCAUCUAUGUUCAAUUCAGUUAUUCAAAAAUGCUUAUCUUUAAGUCAGCAGUAUUUAAUUUUAAUUUGGAAAAUGUCUUAAAUUUUGACAGCAUGCCUGAGUGAGAAUGUGCAAAUCAUAUACAAUCCCCAUGGAGAUGACCCGGUGACCUUUGCAUUUUAUUUAGGUCAGUGUGGCCAGCAGGGCCUGCUUCUUCCUCCUCCAUGCAAAUGCUGUGAAGAGAAGAAGAAACCUGCAACCAGACAGGAGUGAGGAGUGGGGACGUAGGAGAAGCCCAGCAGGGCGGGGAGCCGGGAAAGCCUGCCCUGGGGAGCCCCAAGGCUUUCUGGGCCUGCAGUGGUGCAGCCACAGACAGACUGUUUAAACACUGUCCGCGUGCCUGGGUGGUGCGGUGGGUCCACAUGGCUACCGCCUGCUCCCCCAGCCUCAUGGGUGGACAUGUGUAUCACCCAACAUGUGCUUGAUGAUUUCUACUCAUCAAGGGAGUAGAAAUACAAUUCUAGUUUUCUCAGAUGAGGACUAUUUACAGUUAUCUCAUCUCCCAGCUUUCUGCUUGGCCCCCGCUCUGGGCCUCCCUCUCUGCCAAAUGAUGCUGGGUGAGAUUUCAACACUCCCAUCCGAUCCCCUGGCUCCUCCAUGAGGGCCCUGGGCUGACUACCUAAAGGGCGAACCCCUUAGCCUGACAUCCAAGCCCCGCUGCAAGCUGGUCCCAGCCUUCAGCUCUGGCUGUGGAUCCCCUCCAUGCAUUUGCAGCUGCACAGUCUUCUACAAACGUACUUUUCCUUUCCUUUUAUUUUUUAUUGAGGUAUAAUAUGUAGGAAGUUCAUUCAUCACAAGCGUAUGGCCUUACGAUUGUCACACACGUCUGCAUCCAUGGUUAACCACACCCAGACCGAGACGUAAAACAUUCCCUCCACACUAAGUUUCCUGGCCUAUACACACCCCACCCAUCACCCUGGGUUUUGCCUGUUUUUAAACUUUAUAUGAAUAAAAUGAUACAACAUGUA